AUGCACCCGGAUGACAUCGCCAAGACGGCGUUUCGGACUCAUCACGGCCACUUCGAGUUCUUGGUGAUGCCCUUUGGCCUCACCAAUGCCCCGGCGACCUUUCAGGCUCUGAUGAACGACGUCCUCAGGCCCUACUUACGCCGGUUUGUGCUCGUUUUCUUUGAUGAUAUUCUGAUCUACAGCGCGUCUUGGGCCGAGCACCUCCAGCACGUCGCCAUCGUCUUCAACGAGCUUCGAGCGCACCACCUCCACCUUAAGCGCUCGAAGUGCUUGUUCGGGACGCCUUCGGUGGCCUACUUGGGCCACGUCAUCUCCGCCGACGGGGUGGCUAUGGACGCCGACAAGGUGGCAGCCGUCUCCGCAUGGCCGACGCCUCACUCUCCGCGGGCUCUCCGCGGGUUCCUCGGCCUCGCCGACUACUACCGGAAAUUUAUUCGGGAGUUCGGGCUCAUCGCGGCGCCCCUCACGCGGUUGCUUCGCCGCGACGCUUUCGCCUAG
RNAcentral lists this ribosomal RNA (498 nucleotides) under Triticum aestivum (bread wheat). RNAcentral describes it as "partial small subunit ribosomal RNA". Lineage: Eukaryota; Viridiplantae; Streptophyta; Magnoliopsida; Poales; Poaceae. The record is from RNAcentral.